This 253-nucleotide ribosomal RNA is filed under the name uncultured bacterium. RNAcentral describes it as "partial 16S ribosomal RNA". It matches the Rfam family "Bacterial small subunit ribosomal RNA", at positions 524 to 776 of the family's 1533-position model. The record is from RNAcentral.
UACGGAGGGUGCGAGCGUUGUCCGGAAUCACUGGGCGUAAAGGGCGCGUAGGCGGCGCGGGCAGUCAACGGUGAAAGCCUGGGGCUCAACCCCGGGUCGGCCGUGCGAACUGCUGGGCUUGAGCACUGUAGAGGCAGGCGGAAUUCCGGGUGUAGCGGUGGAAUGCGUAGAGAUCCGGAAGAACACCGGUGGCGAAGGCGGCCUGCUGGGCAGUUGCUGACACUGAGGCGCGACAGCGUGGGGAGCAAACAGG